RNAcentral lists this transfer RNA (86 nucleotides) under Candidatus Beckwithbacteria bacterium CG10_big_fil_rev_8_21_14_0_10_34_10. RNAcentral describes it as "tRNA-Leu". It matches the Rfam family "tRNA". Rfam says of the family: Transfer RNA (tRNA) molecules are approximately 80 nucleotides in length. Their secondary structure includes four short double-helical elements and three loops (D, anti-codon, and T loops). Lineage: Bacteria; Candidatus Beckwithiibacteriota. The record is from RNAcentral.
GCCGCGGUGGCGGAACUGGCAGACGCGCGAGACUUAAAAUCUCGUAGAGGUAAUUCUCUGUGUGGGUUCGAUUCCCUCCCGCGGCA